RNA transcript from Andrographis paniculata, 3118 nucleotides. It is a transcript of the gene named ATP-dependent Clp protease proteolytic subunit 2, mitochondrial-like, with no coding region annotated. The record is from RefSeq and is a predicted model, not a curated record. NCBI's taxonomy places the organism in Eukaryota, Viridiplantae, Streptophyta, Magnoliopsida, Lamiales, Acanthaceae. The transcript is spliced from 4 exons.
AAGAACUCAUCGGAAAACCCCUCCCCCUUCUCGUCCCUCAGUCCCAUGAACACUGAUAACAGGUCUGAUCUCUGCUUCCCUCCAUCAAGCUCAAGCUCCUUCUUCCUCGCCCGAAUCACCUCCUUUGCAAAGUCGUCCACUCCCUGUAUUGACUUCUUGAGUGACCCUUCACUUCCAAUUUCGAAAUGCCUCAUUAGUUUCCAGACCAGAGUUGGGGUCACAAAUCGCAUAAUUGUGGCCUCUGUUGCAGCUUCAAACGCCCUGGCGAAGGGAAUAUCAGGCAGGCCUGGUCUCAGGCAGCCUGGAUCGACACCAAAGGCGAUUAUGCAGACGUUGUCGAAGGUUAGUCUUAAAAGGAUGUCCUGUAGAUCCAUCCAGGUUGAUUCCCUGAUGGAAUCCUCUAGAACAGGCAGGAGACGAUUAUGCACCAACUCCAAGAUGGAAUUGAUUGUCAUCUGCCUGAAUUUUCCGGAAUGGAAUUCCAGACUUGCUGUCUUUCUCUGCCUGUGCCAAAUAUCAUCAUCUGCGCUGAAAAUUCCAUCUCCAAGGAGGUCCCUGACUGUGUCCCGGAAGUACUCUCCUUUCGGGAAGUUUGAAAACCUUGUUUUGAGAAGGUACUCUAGGUUUCGAGGGUCAGAGGUCACCACACAAUUCAAGUUCGAAAACCAGGGUCCUUUAAAGGUGAAGGUUCCGUUCUGACGGCACAGGAUGUUGGAAAUCCAUUCGUAGAUGUUGCUCUGGAGGCCGAGGAAGAGGGAAGGCAGCAUCCCGACAAGGGGCCAGUUGGGGAGGCCCUGGCGAUUCUUCUGGCGGAGAGAAUGGAUGGUUAUGAAUACCAGGAUGGCAGUGAGAAGUUCAAACAUUUGGAUUUCAGAGAUGAAUGAGAGGAGACUGGUGGCUCCAUGUGAAACUGCAGCAGUAGAGGUGUUGUUUGGAGUCAAAGAAGAGGAAGCAUACAUGGUUUUGAAAUGAUGGUGGUGAUAAUGAUUAUGAAAAACAGAUUCAGGGAAAUGGGAAUUUGGUGAUGGGGCAGUCAUGUCUGUGUUAUAAGGGAUGGAAGAAUUGGUUUCUUGGCGUGGAUGAGUUUGUGCAUUGGUUUGAUUUGGUGAGCUGAAAGACAGGCUGCUUUUGCAUGCUAUAUAUGCAUAUGUAAUGAAUUUGAAUGAGGGGAGUCCUUGGAGUAAAGAUCCGGAAUCAAUCUUCACUGUUGGUUUUUCGAUCGAAUGGAGGGGAGGGAAUCAUUGUGAUGAACUUGGUGUUUACCUAUAUUUGGGGUUUCUUAGACAAGUGGUUUUACUUUAAUUUUGCAUUGUUAAUUCCAACGGUUGAUUUGAUUUUAUUUAGGGAGGGGAUGAUCAGGGUAAAGGGUAGUUUUUACAUUUGUGUUUGUGUGUCGAAUGUAUUUGGUUUCUUGUGGUGUUGGUUUUUGACCAGUUUUGUUAGUGGUGAUGAUCAAACAAGUGGGGUUUUUUGAGGGGUUUUUGGAGGAUGGGGUAGCAGUAGGUUGGGAUAGUUAACCUACUUAUGUUUGUAAGUUUUUUGCACAUGUUUUUAAUUUGAUUUGGAGAAUUUGUAGGUGAAUUAGCUGCUGCUAAUGACAAAUUGUCAUCACAGCUUAGUCAUUAUAAUACAGCAAAUAUUGUUGUUACUAAUAAUUUAAUCGAGAUCAACACGGCCGUGUUGGGCCUCUUGGGGGUGCAUAUACUUGGGCUUUAUUCGAAAGGCCCAACACGGCCGUUUUGAUAGUAGCGGGUCACGAGCCGAUGGGUAGGCGGUCUGGCCGGGCCGUGCCGGCCGAAUCGCUUGGCGACUUGAGGGGCUGAACCAGACGGGCGUUUGGUCAAAUUACAUUAAUGCCCUUGGAUCAUGGAUUCAUGGCUGGUAACCAAUUCGGCGAGCUAUUGCUUCGGAGGCGGCGUGACUGGAAAUUGGAAAAAGCCCUAACAGUGAGCAGUUAUGCGGAGCCUUUUCUGUAGGAGGCUAUGGAGUGAAAUCUCCGGCUGCAGUUUGUCGGUUGUAUCAACCAAGCCAAGAGCUUUUGCCAUUGGCGAUGGUCGUAGGGGAGGUUGCGGUGGCAGAAGAUGGUACGGGUUGAUACCUAUGGUGAUUGAGCACUCGUCUCGAGGUGAGCGAGCCUACGACAUUUUCUCUAGGCUCUUGAAGGAACGGAUCAUUUGCAUAAAUGGACCUAUCUCUGAUGAUACGGCGCACGUCGUCGUUGCGCAGCUGCUUUUCCUCGAGUCGGAGAACCCGUCCAAGCCCAUUCACGUUUACCUCAAUUCUCCCGGUGGCGCUGUCACUGCUGGUCUUGCCAUCUAUGAUUCGAUGCAGUAUAUUCGAUCCCCAGUACAUACCAUAUGUUUAGGUCAAGCUGCAUCAAUGGCCUCACUUCUCUUGGCUGCUGGCACCAAGGGUGAGAGGCGGGCCCUUCCAAAUGCCACAAUCAUGAUUCAUCAGCCUUCUGGCGGAUACAGUGGACAGGCGAAGGAUAUGACUAUUCACACCAAACAAAUUCUUCGUGUUUGGGAUUCUCUGAAUGCACUUUAUAGCAAGCACACUGGGCAGUCUGUUGAAGUAGUUCAGGAGAAUAUGGAUCGGGACCAUUUCAUGACACCUGAAGAAGCAAAGAAGUUUGGUAUAAUAGAUGAGGUUAUAGAUGAGAGGCCAAUGAACCUUGUUGCUGAUGCUGCCGCAGAUGGAGGCAAAGAUAAGACUUCAAGUUAGAUAUUAGCAUAAGUUAUUCUCAUACUCUGGAUGCAUUUAGAACAUUGUAUGGAUAAAUUCUUGGACUGUGGCGUUAUUUAACCUGAGGCCCCCGGAUAACAGAGAUCAAGCAAAUAAUUCCCUAUUUGGCAAUUGUCGCCUUAGAUAAAGAAACCACGACUGCAACGGCUGUGUCGAUACCCCUUUCUAACACAUUUGUGUCUAUGCACCGUGGCGCCAUCGCCAGCCCUAUGCAGAAAAGAGUUAACAAUGGACCUGAAUUGAUACAGAAACUGAUAAUUGAGGUAUUGAAUUAUUUUUUUAGAACUAUCCAUAUUAUAUCUGACGAGCUAUGUAUUACGCUAAUAUAUGAUCUAUAUUUUGACUGCUUUAUAUGGCUAUAGUUUUUGUCUAG